Molecule: transfer RNA, 64 nt
Filed under: Amitermes sp. 5 TB-2017
Lineage: Eukaryota; Metazoa; Arthropoda; Insecta; Blattodea; Termitidae
Description: tRNA-Glu
Rfam family: tRNA
About the family: Transfer RNA (tRNA) molecules are approximately 80 nucleotides in length.
Source: RNAcentral
AUUUAUAUAGUUUAACAAAAACAUUACAUUUUCACUGUAAAGAUAAAGAAAACUUUUAUAAAUA